This 508-nucleotide long non-coding RNA is filed under the name Cricetulus griseus (Chinese hamster). Its description in RNAcentral is "lncRNA (ENSCGRG00015039646.1)". Lineage: Eukaryota; Metazoa; Chordata; Mammalia; Rodentia; Cricetidae. The record is from RNAcentral.
UCCAGUUGUGAAUGAGGCCAGUCCAUACCUACUGACCUAGUGGGCCCACAAAGUACCCAGAAGAUGACGCAUGAAGACAGUGUGUGUGGACUUGCUCCUCAAACAUGAACAGAGAUCCCAAGUGGGUCGGUACUGCCAUUCCUGGGAGAGGUCUGGUCCCCAAGCCUUCUCCUCCUCUGGAAGCCCCAUCUACUUCCUGCCUGGCUACUGGCCUAUCAGUGUUUUAUUCAUCAACCAAUAAGAGAAACAUGUGCAGAAGAACGUUCCCAUCAGGCCUUUCACAUCAGCCCACUGAUGUGGGAACCAACGGGAUGGUGAUUACACUGCUCGCUGUGAGUCUGGGGAGAGCAGGUUGUGACCCACAAGGAUCUAGCAUGUCCCAUGCCACCCAGAACCUCUAUCAGCAGCCUGAGACUGAGGGCAGAUGAAGACUUUGGCCUGAGUUAGAAAAGAAGUUUAAGACACACAUUUGCCUCUGGGGUGUUUUGGACCGUGGGGGACAUCCUCU